RNAcentral lists this ribosomal RNA (1477 nucleotides) under Candidatus Peregrinibacteria bacterium. Its description in RNAcentral is "bacterial SSU rRNA". It matches the Rfam family "Bacterial small subunit ribosomal RNA". Lineage: Bacteria; Candidatus Peregrinibacteriota. The record is from RNAcentral.
CAACAAAAGAGUUUGAUCCUGGCUCAGGAUGAACGCUGGCGGGAUGCCUAACACAUGCAAGUCGAGCGGCAGCACUUCGGGUGGCGAGCGGCGAACGGCUGAGGAACACGUUGGUACCUCCCCCGAACUCAGGGAUAAGCCCGAGAAAUCGGGUCUAAUACCGGAUGCCCCAGUAAUGGGAAAGAUUUAUCGGUUCGGGAAGGGCCUGCGGCGUAUCAGCUUGUUGGUGAGGUAACGGCUCACCAAGGCUAUGACGCGUAUCUGGUGUGAGAGCACGACCAGACAGAGUGGGACUGAGACACGGCCCACACUCCUACGGGAGGCAGCAGUGAGGAAUUUUCCACAAUGGGCGAAAGCCUGAUGGAGCAAUCCCGCGUGCAGGAUGACACCUUUCGGGGCGUAAACUGCUUUUCUGAGGGAAGAAAUUUUGACGGUACCUCAGGAAUAAAGGGCGGCUAAUUCCGUGCCAGCAGCCGCGGUAAUACGGAAGCCCUAAGCGUUAUCCGGAAUCAUUGGGCGUAAAGCGUUCGAAGGCGGACCGGUCAGUUUGAUGUUAAAUGCCUGCGGCUCAACCGAGGUUUCGUAUCAAAUACUGCCGGACUAGAGGAAUGCAGAGGCAACUAGAAUUCCCAUUGUAGGGGUUAAAUCCGUAGAUAAUGGGAGGAAUACCAAAAGCGAAAGCAGGUUGCUGGGCAUUUCCUGACGCUGCGCGAACGAAAGCGUGGGGAGCGAAAGGGAUUAGAUACCCCUGUAGUCCACGCCGUAAACGAUGAUCACUCGGUGUACGCCGGUUCAAUCCCGGUGUGUGCCUAAGCUAACGCAUUAAGUGAUCCGCCUGUGGAGUACGGCCGCAAGGCUAAAACAUAAAGGAAUAGACGGGGAUCCACACAAGCGGUGGAGCAUCUGGUUUAAUUCGAUAGCGCGCGAGGAACCUUACCAGGGUUUGACAUCCCCAGAAUCUUGCAGAGAUGCGAGAGUGCCUUCGGGAACUGGGUGACAGGUGCUGCAUGGUUGUCGUCAGCUCGUGCCUUGAGGUGUGCGGUUAAGUCCGUAAACGAGCGCAACCCUCGUCGUGCGUUGUAUUUUUCGCGCGAGACUGCCCGUUUUACGCGGGAGGAAGGUGAGGAUGACGUCAAAUCAGCAUGGCCCUUAUGUCCUGGGCGACACAGAUGCUACAAUGGUCGGUACAAAGGGUAGCCAAGCCGCGAGGUGGAGCCAAUCCCAAAAAGCCGAUCUCAGUUCGGAUUGGAGUCUGCAACUCGACUCCAUGAAGUUGGAAUCGCUAGUAACCGUAGAUCAGCCACGCUACGGUGAAUACGUUCCUGGAUCUUGUACUCACCGCCCGUCAAGUCAUGAAAGAUGGGGGCGCCCGAAGCGGUGUUAUCCUUUUAGGAGCAUCACCACGGUGAAACCAUUGAUUGGGACUAAGUCGUAACAAGGUAUCCGUAGGGGAAUCUGCGGAUGGACCACUUCCUAA